Grus americana (Whooping crane) is the source of this 483-nucleotide long non-coding RNA. RefSeq lists it as uncharacterized. Lineage: Eukaryota; Metazoa; Chordata; Aves; Gruiformes; Gruidae. The transcript has 3 exons. The record is from RefSeq and is a predicted model, not a curated record.
CCAAAGCGCACUAUGUGCCAGGCAAGCCAGAAGAUCACACGCCAUUUCCUGGUCUGCCGGCAGGUCAGGUGUGACUGUGGUUUGGAGUAGUGACCAGGCACAGCCCCAAAAGCCCAGGCCUUGUUGCUAAACCUUAUUGGUGUCUUUGAGAAGUCUUGCCUCCUGAUGCUGCCAUCUCCCUGAUGGGGAACGGUUCCAUCUAAUCCAGCUGUCCUGCUUGCUUUCUCAAGAGACGGACCGAGAGGCUGUGAAGAAGCUCUUGUUUCCAGACGGAAGCAGCGGCUCCCUGCCAGUCCCUCCCGACGAAGCGCAGGCAACGCAAGGCGCCGGCACGCCAGUGCUGUCGGAGUCCGGAGAAGACCACCAGGCCAGCAGAUACGAUUUUUUCCAAGCGGACUCAGAUGCGGUCGGAAAGAGAAUCGCAAGUGCUGACCUUCCCCAGAGGGCCGCAGGUGUUUUAUGCCCCCCAGAUGUGCGAAGGCG